This 246-nucleotide ribosomal RNA is filed under the name uncultured bacterium. RNAcentral describes it as "partial 16S ribosomal RNA". It matches the Rfam family "Bacterial small subunit ribosomal RNA", at positions 15 to 257 of the family's 1533-position model. The record is from RNAcentral.
GAUCCUGGCUCAGAUUGAACGCUGGCGGCAGGCUUAACACAUGCAAGUCGAACGGUAACAGGAGAAAGCUUGCUUUCUUGCUGACGAGUGGCGGACGGGUGAGUAAUGCUUGGGAAUCUGGCUUAUGGAGGGGGAUAACGACGGGAAACUGUCGCUAAUACCGCGUAGAGUCGAGAGACGAAAGUGGGGGACCGCAAGGCCGCAUGCCAUAGGAUGAGCCCAAGUGGGAUUAGGUAGUUGGUGGGG